This 1520-nucleotide ribosomal RNA is filed under the name Escherichia coli. RNAcentral describes it as "bacterial SSU rRNA". It matches the Rfam family "Bacterial small subunit ribosomal RNA". The record is from RNAcentral. Lineage: Bacteria; Pseudomonadati; Pseudomonadota; Gammaproteobacteria; Enterobacterales; Enterobacteriaceae.
GCUCAGAUUGAACGCUGGCGGCAGGCCUAACACAUGCAAGUCGAACGGUAACAGGAAACAGCUUGCUGUUUCGCUGACGAGUGGCGGACGGGUGAGUAAUGUCUGGGAAACUGCCUGAUGGAGGGGGAUAACUACUGGAAACGGUAGCUAAUACCGCAUAAUGUCGCAAGACCAAAGAGGGGGACCUUCGGGCCUCUUGCCAUCGGAUGUGCCCAGAUGGGAUUAGCUAGUAGGUGGGGUAACGGCUCACCUAGGCGACGAUCCCUAGCUGGUCUGAGAGGAUGACCAGCCACACUGGAACUGAGACACGGUCCAGACUCCUACGGGAGGCAGCAGUGGGGAAUAUUGCACAAUGGGCGCAAGCCUGAUGCAGCCAUGCCGCGUGUAUGAAGAAGGCCUUCGGGUUGUAAAGUACUUUCAGCGGGGAGGAAGGGAGUAAAGUUAAUACCUUUGCUCAUUGACGUUACCCGCAGAAGAAGCACCGGCUAACUCCGUGCCAGCAGCCGCGGUAAUACGGAGGGUGCAAGCGUUAAUCGGAAUUACUGGGCGUAAAGCGCACGCAGGCGGUUUGUUAAGUCAGAUGUGAAAUCCCCGGGCUCAACCUGGGAACUGCAUCUGAUACUGGCAAGCUUGAGUCUCGUAGAGGGGGGUAGAAUUCCAGGUGUAGCGGUGAAAUGCGUAGAGAUCUGGAGGAAUACCGGUGGCGAAGGCGGCCCCCUGGACGAAGACUGACGCUCAGGUGCGAAAGCGUGGGGAGCAAACAGGAUUAGAUACCCUGGUAGUCCACGCCGUAAACGAUGUCGACUUGGAGGUUGUGCCCUUGAGGCGUGGCUUCCGGAGCUAACGCGUUAAGUCGACCGCCUGGGGAGUACGGCCGCAAGGUUAAAACUCAAAUGAAUUGACGGGGGCCCGCACAAGCGGUGGAGCAUGUGGUUUAAUUCGAUGCAACGCGAAGAACCUUACCUGGUCUUGACAUCCACAGAACUUUCCAGAGAUGGAUUGGUGCCUUCGGGAACUGUGAGACAGGUGCUGCAUGGCUGUCGUCAGCUCGUGUUGUGAAAUGUUGGGUUAAGUCCCGCAACGAGCGCAACCCUUAUCCUUUGUUGCCAGCGGUCCGGCCGGGAACUCAAAGGAGACUGCCAGUGAUAAACUGGAGGAAGGUGGGGAUGACGUCAAGUCAUCAUGGCCCUUACGACCAGGGCUACACACGUGCUACAAUGGCGCAUACAAAGAGAAGCGACCUCGCGAGAGCAAGCGGACCUCAUAAAGUGCGUCGUAGUCCGGAUUGGAGUCUGCAACUCGACUCCAUGAAGUCGGAAUCGCUAGUAAUCGUGGAUCAGAAUGCCACGGUGAAUACGUUCCCGGGCCUUGUACACACCGCCCGUCACACCAUGGGAGUGGGUUGCAAAAGAAGUAGGUAGCUUAACCUUCGGGAGGGCGCUUACCACUUUGUGAUUCAUGACUGGGGUGAAGUCGUAACAAGGUAACCGUAGGGGAACCUGCGGUUGGAUCACCUCCUU